RNAcentral lists this ribosomal RNA (253 nucleotides) under uncultured bacterium. RNAcentral describes it as "partial 16S ribosomal RNA". It matches the Rfam family "Bacterial small subunit ribosomal RNA", at positions 524 to 776 of the family's 1533-position model. The record is from RNAcentral.
UACAGAGGGUGCAAGCGUUGUUCGGAAUUACUGGGCGUAAAGCGCGUGUAGGCGGCUUAUUAAGUCGGACGUGAAAUCCCUUGGCUCAACCAAGGAACUGCGUCCGAUACUGCUAGGCUUGAGUGUCGGAGGGGGUGGCGGAAUUCCUGGUGUAGAGGUGAAAUUCGUAGAUAUCAGGAGGAACACCUGUGGCGAAGGCGGCCACCUGGAAGACAACUGACGCUGAGACGCGAAAGCGUGGGGAGCAAACAGG